RNAcentral lists this ribosomal RNA (442 nucleotides) under barley rhizosphere bacterium JJ-1452. Its description in RNAcentral is "bacterial SSU rRNA". It matches the Rfam family "Bacterial small subunit ribosomal RNA", at positions 8 to 497 of the family's 1533-position model. The record is from RNAcentral. Lineage: Bacteria; Pseudomonadati; Bacteroidota; Sphingobacteriia.
AGAGUUUGAUUCUGGCUCAGAACGAACGCUGGCGGCAUGCCUAAUACAUGCAAGUCGAACGAGAUCUUCGGAUCUAGUGGCGCACGGGUGCGUAACGCGUGGGAAUCUACCCUUGGGUUCGGAAUAACAUCGGGAAACUGAUGCUAAUACCGGAUGAUGACGUAAGUCCAAAGAUUUAUCGCCCAGGGAUGAGCCCGCGUAGGAUUAGCUAGUUGGUGAGGUAAAGGCUCACCAAGGCGACGAUCCUUAGCUGGUCUGAGAGGAUGAUCAGCCACACUGGGACUGAGACACGGCCCAGACUCCUACGGGAGGCAGCAGUAGGGAAUAUUGGACAAUGGGGGCAACCCUGAUCCAGCAAUGCCGCGUGAGUGAUGAAGGCCUUAGGGUUGUAAAGCUCUUUUACCCGGGAUGAUAAUGACAGUACCGGGAGAAUAGCCUCGGC